RNAcentral lists this transfer RNA (48 nucleotides) under Mayetiola destructor (Hessian fly). RNAcentral's name for it is "partial tRNA-Thr". Lineage: Eukaryota; Metazoa; Arthropoda; Insecta; Diptera; Cecidomyiidae. The record is from RNAcentral.
AAUAUUUUAAUUUAAAUUAUAAAAUAAUAAUUUUGUAAAUUAUUUAUA